UGGGUCCUGAGGCCCAGAGAUGUUCUAUGUGUGUGUAAGUUCUCACUGGCAGAGCUGGGACUCAAAUGCAAACAGUGUGACUCCAGGGCGCACACUCCUAACCCCAACAUUGUAAGGUCCUUGGGUUGCCAUCUAAAAACUGGGACUUUCCUGGAGCCACAGUGGGGGACAAGUGGUCCUAUAUUAGCUGCUUGAAGCAGAUGGCAGCUGGUUGAGAGUUAGGUACACAGCUGGACUGGCACUUAGCCGGACUGGCUCACUUUCCCCCCAUGUUAGACAUCAGCAAGUUUCCAGUUACUCCCUUAUAAGAAGCCACAGUUUGUCCUGGCAUAGUGUAAAUUACUUUCUGAGAUCUGACAAACCACUCCCCCUUUCACCCCUUUUCUGUCCCCACCUAGGCACCAGCCUCUCUCCCAACUGCCCCAUGGUUUGGAAUUCUUAAGCCAGAUAUUCUCAAGGCUUUGCUAAACAAGCCCAGGAGUGGUUUGGGGCUUCAGAAGUAGCCUUUGUCUUGUCUCCAUGCUCCAAAGGGCUGAAGAACUUCCAAAUGGAAAAUCACCUCUUUCUUCCCUACAGUCACUGUCAAAGCAUACCUUCAUUUUCAUAGAAUCAACAUAACCUUAAGCUCUAACCUCUCACACUGAAGCUGAGGAAACAGGCCCAGAGAUCUCCCGAAAGGAUCUCUUCCUGUAUACCCGUGCUGUCCAGUAUGGUAGCCUUGAGCCACGUGUGGCUAUUUAAAAUUAAUUAGAAACCUAAUUCCCCAGAAAAUUAGCCACAUGUCAGUUGUUUAAUAGCCACAUAUGGCUUAUGGUUACCAUCCUGGACAGUGUAAAUAGAGAACUUCCCAUCUUCCCAGUAAGUCCUACCGGACAGUACAGAGCUGUGGGUGUGUCUGCUUUCCCUUCCUGAUUUCCAUGGCCCUGGCCAGAGUCCCUACCAACCUCUGGGUUUCCUGUGCAGUUAUCAGUCCAGCCAACUCACCUGCAGAGUGUAAAGGGUCUGGUGUACCUACAUUUCACAAAGCAUCAGGAAUUUGAAGCAUUUCUAGGAAUCUAGGAAUAUCUAGAAAUCCUAAAUGGAAAUACAACCACACACAUACACAUAUCAGGCAUGUAUGGUAAUGGUUCAGGCUGGGCUGCUUUAUGGCUUCCUCUGCCAUAACAGAUGCAGGGAAUGGCCUCCCUGCCUCCUGGGGUGGGGUAAGGUGCUAAGCGGACCAGGGCUUUGACAUUAGGAAGAUUUGAGUUUGAAUCCUGGCUUUGUGACCUUGAUCUCAUAACUUAAACUGUUAGCUUCAGAAUUCUCUUGUUUAAAAUGGGGAUAGUGAUAGGAACACCUCCAGUUUUUGUUAAGGGCAAAAUGAUAAUCUCAUCAGCACACUACAAGCACCCAAUAUCCACGGAUGUGGUUCCCUUUUCCUAGAUUCCCUGCUGAACUCCAAAUUGGCAGAGAGGAAUAUUGCCUAAGUAAUGGUCUCAGUACCUCAGCAGUACUGGAAGGAAUUGCCAAUUAGAGGGAAGCUAUUAGCCAGCUAUCCACUUCAUGUGACCCAUGGCAGGAUUAAUAAGCCAGUAAAGCAGGGUUGCUCUUCCUGUGAAUUCCUUAACACUUUUC
RNAcentral lists this long non-coding RNA (1617 nucleotides) under Homo sapiens (human). Its description in RNAcentral is "HSALNT0044893". The record is from RNAcentral. Lineage: Eukaryota; Metazoa; Chordata; Mammalia; Primates; Hominidae.